This 572-nucleotide long non-coding RNA is filed under the name Amborella trichopoda. RNAcentral describes it as "long non-coding RNA (ATRI_LNC001486)". Lineage: Eukaryota; Viridiplantae; Streptophyta; Magnoliopsida; Amborellales; Amborellaceae. The record is from RNAcentral.
AAUUAUUCUGUCAAAGUUGUGCAAACAAAAUCAAUCGAAUAUAAAUAUGACAAAUACAUACACCUUUUAUUACACCACAACUAACUAUUAUGACACACAAAUCACACAAGAGCACCCCAAAGUAAUGAAAAACAAUAAAUCACACAGGAGUGCAAAUACAUGUGCUCCCCAUAGGAACAUAAACUCGAGGCAUGGAAGUAGUCCUCUUUAUACGGGGGGCACAUGUGUUAAGAGAGAUAGUUCUGGGCUUGUAUUACUCUAAGUUGUGCAAACAAAAUCAAUGGAAUAUAAUUCCAAUCUAAAUAUGACAAAUACAUACACCCUUUAUUACAAUUACCAACAUGAGGAUAUCAGCACAGAAGGGGUGGUGGACAGGGCUGGAGGGGGUGCGUGCCUAAGAGGCCGCGAGCUGCGAGACAAGCAUUGUCACCAAGCAACGACAGUACAACGCGCAUUGCUAAUAAGAGGGAAGCCUUGUGAGAAGCCAUGGCUAAAAGGGCUAGAGAGAGAGAGAGAGGAAGGAGAGACCAGGAACUAAAGAGAGAGAAGAAACUAGUGGUAGAACUAAAGAG